GAUGAACGCUGGCGGCGUGCCUAAUACAUGCCAGUCGAGCGAACAGACGAGGAGCCUGCUCCUCUGACGUUAGCGGCGGACGGGUGAGUAACACGUGGAUAACCUACCUAUAAGACUGGGAUAACUUCGGGAAACCGGAGCUAAUACCGGAUAAUAUAUUGAACCGCAUGGUUCAAUAGUGAAAGACGGUUUUGCUGUCACUUAUAGAUGGAUCCGCGCCGCAUUAGCUAGUUGGUAAGGUAACGGCUUACCAAGGCAACGAUGCGUAGCCGACCUGAGAGGGUGAUCGGCCACACUGGAACUGAGACACGGUCCAGACUCCUACGGGAGGCAGCAGUAGGGAAUCAUCCGCAAUGGGCGAAAGCCUGACGGAGCAACGCCGCGUGAGUGAUGAAGGUCUUCGGAUCGUAAAACUCUGUUAUUAGGGAAGAACAAAUGUGUAAGUAACUAUGCACGUCUUGACGGUACCUAAUCAGAAAGCCACGGCUAACUACGUG
RNAcentral lists this ribosomal RNA (497 nucleotides) under uncultured bacterium. RNAcentral's name for it is "partial 16S ribosomal RNA". It matches the Rfam family "Bacterial small subunit ribosomal RNA", at positions 28 to 507 of the family's 1533-position model. The record is from RNAcentral.